UUUGAGUGGCGGACGGGUGAGUAACGCGUGGGUAACCUGCCUUACACAGGGGGAUAACACCUGGAAACAGGUGCUAAUACCGCAUAAGCGCACAGGGCCGCAUGGCCCGGUGUGAAAAACUCCGGUGGUGUAAGAUGGACCCGCGUCUGAUUAGCUUGUUGGCGGGGUAGGGGCCCACCAAGGCGACGAUCAGUAGCCGGCCUGAGAGGGUGGACGGCCACAUUGGGACUGAGACACGGCCCAGACUCCUACGGAAGGCAGCAG
Molecule: ribosomal RNA, 264 nt
Filed under: uncultured bacterium
Lineage: Bacteria
Description: partial 16S ribosomal RNA
Rfam family: Bacterial small subunit ribosomal RNA
Source: RNAcentral